GGCCAAUCAAAAAAGUAUGUGUGUUACUGUCACAUGCUGAACAAUAAACAUGAUAAAAGGUUAGGUAGGUAGGAUAUUUUUUUAUAUUUUUUUACAUAGAGUCUAUCAUAUAUAUCUAUAGGAGCAACAUAGUGACUUCCACAGUGCUUAAUCAAAAAUGGUCAGUUUUUUUUAGGUAGAUAGCUAUAGGGGUUCAGUAAACACACAUGUUUUGUUGUUUGGCCUAUAUAGGAAUUCAGUGGUUGAUUUAGUACAUACAUAAUGUGUAAUUGAUAGUCUUAAGUUUAUAAGUACAUUCAGUUUUAAAUCUAUACAUCAAACAAAAAAUGUUCUGAUCUUAACCUUUGAACAUCAUCCCAUUACAUAACUACAUAGAAUCACACACCAGUGUUUCCCAAAUUUUUGAAGUAGUAGAGUUUAAAAUCUUGAAAACAACUUUAACAAGGGACACAUACAUGUAGCUUUCUAGUUAAACAUUUACAUGUACAAGUUCAGUCAGCACCAAAAACUUUUCGAACUACUAGUCCGAAGACCAAUAUUCUGCCAUUCUUCUAAUGUGCCUAUACAAAGUUUUGCAAAUAUUUGCUAUUCCUAAUAAAAUUUUACUAGUCUGACUAGUGGCUAACGGUGCAGACUGAAAGUUAAUUAAAAGAAAUAAGCAUGGCAAAAAUCAUGAAUUACAUGAAUUACAUGUACAUUUAGGCAGCUGUUUCACAAGAUACUAUAGCUACAUGUAGUUUCUAAAACUUC
This 750-nucleotide long non-coding RNA is filed under the name Mytilus galloprovincialis (Mediterranean mussel). Lineage: Eukaryota; Metazoa; Mollusca; Bivalvia; Mytilida; Mytilidae. The record is from RNAcentral.